RNAcentral lists this ribosomal RNA (253 nucleotides) under uncultured bacterium. RNAcentral describes it as "partial 16S ribosomal RNA". It matches the Rfam family "Bacterial small subunit ribosomal RNA", at positions 524 to 776 of the family's 1533-position model. The record is from RNAcentral.
UACGUAGGGUGCGAGCGUUAAUCGGAAUUACUGGGCGUAAAGCGUGCGCAGGCGGUUCGUUAUGUCCGAUGUGAAAGCCCCGAGCUCAACUUGGGAAUGGCAUUGGAAACUGGCGGGCUGGAGUGUGGCAGAGGGGGGUGGAAUGCCGCGUGUAGCAGUGAAAUGCGUAGAGAUGUGGAGGAACACCGAUGGCGAAGGCAGCCCCCUGGGUCAAGAUUGACGCUCAUGCACGAAAGCGUGGGGAGCAAACAGG